Molecule: long non-coding RNA, 3161 nt
Filed under: Homo sapiens (human)
Lineage: Eukaryota; Metazoa; Chordata; Mammalia; Primates; Hominidae
Description: long non-coding RNA NONHSAT150786.1
Source: RNAcentral
AGAUGGCUCUGGCCCUGUGUGGAGAAUGGGUUGAAGGAACACAGACGCAGCAGCAGAACCGGUUGACAGGUGAAGAGACCUCUUUCAGGCAGAGGGAACAAAAUAAGCCACAGUCCUCAUCCUUGAACCAGGUGAGAACUUCUAGCUUACUGGGUAAAGUCCAAUUAACGUGGUGCAGAAUUCCAUCCAUGGCAGGGCUCCUGCUGUCUCCAGCCUCAUCUCCAGGCACACCCUGCACCCUUGAGAAGACAAUGCUUCCGUGUCCACCAGUUCAUUCCUUCCAGACACAUCCCAGUGGUGUCUAGCUCAGGUCUCAGCUCCUGGAAAGGGACAAGGACGCCCCAGAGUCUGCUUUUUUGACACUUACCUUCUGGUCCCCCUGAAAAAUCAUGCUGCAUCACGCCUGCACAUUGUCCUUUCUGCGGAAAUGUCCUGUCUCCCCAUCUCUAUCUGCCAAAGACCCACGCAUAAUGCAAACAAUUCAGGUUUCACCCUUUGCAGUGAACUUUGUACAGCUCUCCCAGGUUGCCCUUGCUAAGCUAGACCCAGGCAAAAGACAAACCCCAGAGCAACAGUGCGAGGCGGUGCUCCACGCUCCAUCUCAGAGCAGAGCAACCUUAGGACCCCAUUUCAGAAUCCCCUCAAUGAAGUGUAUGGUGGAAGGGCCUGAUUCGUGUCAUGAGAGGUAACAACACCACUACCAACAUCCUGCUUCUCGUCCCCCAGCCCCUGCAAGGGUGCAGUGUGGCUACAGGGGGUGUCUCUGCAGUGAUUCCUCCCUUUACAGGGAAUGAGUCAGGUCCUCUGAAGAAAAGGUGUAAAAAGAAAAAAGAGUGUGUUGUCAAUACUUCAAAGCCUCAGCCAGCAUCAUCUGAUCUAGGAAAGGUGUGAUGGGGUAGGAUAAUCGAUCGCUGCUUAAUUUCCACUGGUUUCUGCAGGGUGCAGACCAGGAAAUUAGACAUUGGGCCUUCCCAGCAGGUCAAGAAACCCAUGUCAGAUACAGCAAAAUCAGCCUCUGUGGCCAGGGGACAGAGGCGUGUGGCGUCUACAAGAAACAAAGAACACAAAGGUUUCCAAGACCAUACUCUGAAAUCUCUGCUCCUUAGAACAGACUCUAAGCUACUACAGAAAAACCACAAGGAAGUUUUCCAUCUGCUUUUUUCCCCUAGUAUCUUCUCCCUAUCUCAAAAACAAAAAAACAAAACAAAACAAAACUUUAAAAAUCCAUGAAGCAUUAGCUAUUUUUAGAAAUUUUAACUUUUCUAUUAUCUAACAAUACAUAUUUCCUGAGCAUUUUAAGUCCAUUUUAAUUUUGUGUACUAUUUAAUGGUAAAUCGUGGUAUAUAUCCUCAACAUAAUACUUCAUAUCCUUGCAGUCCGAUUAUUCAGUCAGCCUUCACUUCUUCAGAUUAAACAAUAUAACUUCAAUUUGCAUAUGUUCUCCAGGUUAUUGCAAAAUAAACCUGUUUCAGUGCAUUUGAAGUAUAGAACAGUGAUCAUUUUAAAUCACACUCAAUUGCCCAGCUUUUCAUUUGAAUAAAAUUCAGGUACCGUUUAGUUCACAAAGAUAAUUUUACUUCAAGAUUUACAGUCGUGCCUCUCAUCUAAAGCAAUCUUCCUCACCCUCUCCCCGGCACUAUUUCUCACCAGCCCUCAAACCCACAAGGCCUCAUUCAAAAAUGAUGAAUCAAGAAGAAAAUAUAAUGUAAAUAGCUGCUGUAUUAGAAAAAUGCACUGGGAAUCUUUGAAAGCCAGGGAGAAUAUAUUAAUAUUCUAUAUUUCUUUUAUCAUACCAAAAAAAAAAAAAAAGGCAGGCUAUGCCUUAGAGCAAGGCUGCAACAGUGUGUCCCAUGUAGGAAAGAUAUUUGCAAGGCCGUCUGGCCUAAAUGCUCACCAUUAACCAAAGCAGGAGCUCUGGGAAGCUCCUGGGAAGUCCAGCCAUGUGGGGCCACCAAAACAUAAUGGAAAAUGCCCACCACACACUACACGCUUCUUCAUUACAUUGGCUCAAUACUGAGAAUGACCGCACAGGACAGCCCUCUUGCAUGACACUAAGGUUUUGUAGGUGAACUGCCACCUGUUAGAUUUCCACUUCCUUUGUUCUCCUACAGUGAGGUCUUUGUCCUGAGUUGAGGGGAGGACAGAUUUUGGUGGGAAGAUGAUCUGAGUUUAAAGGGGCUCUGAGAGAUCCACAUGCAGCUGUCUAGUAGGUUAAUGGGAAUACCCAUCCAACACUCUGGAAAGAGGUCCUUGCUGGAGAUGGAAAUCUAGGGUCCUUCACAUUGGCAUGGUUGUUGGAACCACGGCUGGGUCAGAGUUGUUGAGGAGCACAGACCUCUGAAGGGGGAAGAACAAGGAACCUUGGGAGCACCGAUAAUUGCUGGAUACACGAGCUCUGCGACAGGAAGGCAAGCAUAAGGCUGUCAUGCCAUAAAAACUAAGGCAAGAGAGAGUUUCCAUGCGAGGGAGGGGUCACACGAACUGAAUACAGUCCAAAGGACUGUAGGCAGUGGAUGAUACUAUUUAGGAGGUCUAAAUAUAGCUCUAGUAAUCUCAGCAAGAAUAAGUUACAAUGAAACAAUUACGGGUAAGGGAGAAGCUAGCUAGAUUUCACUGGCCGUGGAGUCUAGGUCUAUGCCCAAGAGAGAUGCAUGAAAUGUUUUACUGGUUUCUGCAAAUAAGCCAGACCAAGGGAGAAACAGACCUUCAGCAAGUAGUAACCAAAUGCAAGUUUUGAGAAUGUGGAGGGAGAGGAGGUUCUGCCCCUGCAAACUGGGCAGUGCAUCCAAGGUCUCCUGCUAACAUCUGUCACUCAUCGGAGCCACCUGAUCUGAAGCGUUGUCAGGGUCAGUAUUUUUGUUCUGCCUGCUGUUUUGCUAAUGGAUCAAUGGCAGUCAGUAAAGAACAAACCGUGCCAGAAAAGAAUGUCCUCUUCUUCUCAGCUGACUCAGCUCGGGACAGGAAGACAGGGGGCAUCUGGCAUUUGGGGAAGCCCUUGAUUGUCCCUUAGGAAAUAACUGAAAAUGGAUUUGUGUUGGCCUGGUUCUAAGAAGGUCACCCAGGUUGAAUUUGAAAAGCAGAGGCACUGUGUCCACAAAAGAAAGUGAUAAGCAGCAAGCCAUUUCUCAAAGCUAAUGCCCGAGUGUGUACCACCGGGAUCC